CCUACGGGAGGCUGCAGUGGGGAAUCUUCCGCAAUGGACGAAAGUCUGACGGAGCAACGCCGCGUGAGUGAUGACGGCCUUCGGGUUGUAAAGCUCUGUGAUUCGGGACGAAAGGCCAUAUGUGAAUAAUAUAUGGAAAUGACGGUACCGAAAAAGCAAGCCACGGCUAACUACGUGCCAGCAGCCGCGGUAAUACGUAGGUGGCAAGCGUUGUCCGGAAUUAUUGGGCGUAAAGCGCGCGCAGGCGGAUUGGUCAGUCUGUCUUAAAAGUUCGGGGCUUAACCCCGUGAUGGGAUGGAAACUGCCAAUCUAGAGUAUCGGAGAGGAAAGUGGAAUUCCUAGUGUAGCGGUGAAAUGCGUAGAUAUUAGGAAGAACACCAGUGGCGAAGGCGACUUUCUGGACGAAAACUGACGCUGAGGCGCGAAAGCCAGGGGAGCGAACGGGAUUAGAUACCCCGGUAGUC
This 464-nucleotide ribosomal RNA is filed under the name uncultured Dialister sp. RNAcentral's name for it is "bacterial SSU rRNA". It matches the Rfam family "Bacterial small subunit ribosomal RNA", at positions 338 to 795 of the family's 1533-position model. The record is from RNAcentral. Lineage: Bacteria; Bacillati; Bacillota; Negativicutes; Veillonellales; Veillonellaceae.